CGUCCAGACUCCUACGGGAGGCAGCAGUGGGGAAUAUUGCACAAUGGGGGGAACCCUGAUGCAGCGACGCCGCGUGGAUGAAGGAGCACCUCGGUGCGUAAAGCCCUAUCGGCAGGGAAGAAAAGCGAACAGGUUCGCCUGGACGGUACCUGACUAAGAAGCCCCGGCUAACUACGUGCCAGCAGCCGCGGUAAUACGUAGGGGGCAAGCGUUAUCCGGAGUGACUGGGUGUAAAGAGUUGCGUAGGUGGCAUAGUAAGUAGCUAGUGAAAUCUGGUGGCUCAACCAUUCAGACUAUUAGCUAAACUGCUAAGCUCGAGACCGUUAGGGGUAACUGGAAUUUCUAGUGUAGGAGUGAAAUCCGUAGAUAUUAGAAGGAACACCGAUAGCGUAGGCAGGUUACUGGGACGGUUCUGACACUAAGGCACGAAAGCGUAGGGAGCAAACGGGAUUAGAUACCCUAGUA
Molecule: ribosomal RNA, 465 nt
Filed under: uncultured bacterium
Lineage: Bacteria
Description: bacterial SSU rRNA
Rfam family: Bacterial small subunit ribosomal RNA
Source: RNAcentral